GAAGUUAGAUGGUGAUGAUUUGAUCUCCUAGAUCCUUGUUGGGAUGGAAAAUGACUACAAUCCGUUCGUCGACA
Non-coding RNA from Triticum urartu, 74 nucleotides. Lineage: Eukaryota; Viridiplantae; Streptophyta; Magnoliopsida; Poales; Poaceae. The record is from Rfam.